CUCCAUUUUGCCCCAUUUCUGCCCAUUUUCCCCAAUUCCCACCUCUUUUGGCCCUUUUUUGCCCAAUUCUGCCCCUAUUUCGCCCAUUUCUGCCCCAUUUUCCCCCCAUUUCUGCCCAUUUCUGCCCAUUUUUUCACCCAUUUUUCCCCCAUUUCCCCCAAUUUCACCCCAAUAUUCCUCUCUGCUGUCCAUUCUGACCCCCAUUUCCCCCCAAUUCUGCCCCAUUUCCCCCCAGUUUUGCCCCAUCCCCCCCCCACUUCCACCCCACUCCCUCCUCCCACUGUAUCCCCCUAUGGGACCCAUCCCCAUUUAGGGUCCAAAAGGUGGGAUUUUGGGGCCCAAAAAGUGGCAUUUUGGGUCAUUUUGGGUCGAAAAAGUGGCAUUUUGGGUCCUGGCAGAGCACAUACAGCACCUGAAGGCGGAGGGCUGCGGCUGCAGCGCCCCCUACAGGCGCGGAGGUCCCCAUUCUGCCCCCAUUUGCCCCCAUUUCUGCCCCAUUUUCCCCCCCAUUUCUGCCCAUUUUUCACCCAUUUUUCCCCCAUUUCCCCCAAUUUCACCCCAAUAUUCCCCUCUGCUGUCCAUUCUGACCCCCAUUUCCCCCCAGUUCUGCCCCAUUUCCACCCCAAUAUCCCCCCCCCCCCCCCCCCUCCCCUUCGCUCCCUCCUCCCACUGUAUCCCCCUAUGGGACCCAUCCCCAUUUAGGGUCCAAAAGGUGGGAUUUUGGGGCCCAAAAAGUGGCAUUUUGGGUCAUUUUGGGUCGAAAAAGGGUCAUUUUGGGUCCUGGCAGAGUACGUGGAGCACCUGAAGGCGGAGGGCUGCGGCUGCAGCGCCCCCUACAGGCGCGGAGAGCACAUACAGCACCUGAAGGCGGAGGGCUGCGGCUGCAGCGCCCCCUACAGGCGCGGAGGUCCCC
RNAcentral lists this long non-coding RNA (913 nucleotides) under Gallus gallus (chicken). RNAcentral's name for it is "lncRNA (ENSGALG00010000463.1)". Lineage: Eukaryota; Metazoa; Chordata; Aves; Galliformes; Phasianidae. The record is from RNAcentral.